RNAcentral lists this ribosomal RNA (2224 nucleotides) under Salmonella enterica subsp. enterica serovar Saintpaul. Its description in RNAcentral is "partial 23S ribosomal RNA". It matches the Rfam family "Bacterial large subunit ribosomal RNA", at positions 679 to 2802 of the family's 2925-position model. The record is from RNAcentral. Lineage: Bacteria; Pseudomonadati; Pseudomonadota; Gammaproteobacteria; Enterobacterales; Enterobacteriaceae.
GAGUCUUAAUUGGGCGUUAAGUUGCAGGGUAUAGACCCGAAACCCGGUGAUCUAGCCAUGGGCAGGUUGAAGGUUGGGUAACACUAACUGGAGGACCGAACCGACUAAUGUUGAAAAAUUAGCGGAUGACCUGUGGCUGGGGGUGAAAGGCCAAUCAAACCGGGAGAUAGCUGGUUCUCCCCGAAAGCUAUUUAGGUAGCGCCUCGUGAAUUCAUCUCCGGGGGUAGAGCACUGUUUCGGCUAGGGGGCCAUCCCGGCUUACCAACCCGAUGCAAACUGCGAAUACCGGAGAAUGUUAUCACGGGAGACACACGGCGGGUGCUAACGUCCGUCGUGAAGAGGGAAACAACCCAGACCGCCAGCUAAGGUCCCAAAGUCAUGGUUAAGUGGGAAACGAUGUGGGAAGGCCCAGACAGCCAGGAUGUUGGCUUAGAAGCAGCCAUCAUUUAAAGAAAGCGUAAUAGCUCACUGGUCGAGUCGGCCUGCGCGGAAGAUGUAACGGGGCUAAACCAUGCACCGAAGCUGCGGCAGCGAACGUAUCACUUAAAGCGAUUCAGCGGGUUACGAUUGACGGAGCGAAGCGACGUCAAAGCGUAUACAAAGUCGAGUCGGUUUAAGGAUACGUUCGUUGGGUAGGGGAGCGUUCUGUAAGCCCGUGAAGGUGGCCUGUGAGGGUUGCUGGAGGUAUCAGAAGUGCGAAUGCUGACAUAAGUAACGAUAAAGCGGGUGAAAAGCCCGCUCGCCGGAAGACCAAGGGUUCCUGUCCAACGUUAAUCGGGGCAGGGUGAGUCGACCCCUAAGGCGAGGCCGAAAGGCGUAGUCGAUGGGAAACGGGUUAAUAUUCCCGUACUUGGUGUUACUGCGAAGGGGGGACGGAGAAGGCUAUGUUGGCCGGGCGACGGUUGUCCCGGUUUAAGCGUGUAGGUGUGUGUUCCAGGUAAAUCCGGUUCACUUUAACACUGAGGCGUGACGACGAGGCACUACGGUGCUGAAGCAACAAAUGCCCUGCUUCCAGGAAAAGCCUCUAAGCAUCAGGUAACAUCAAAUCGUACCCCAAACCGACACAGGUGGUCAGGUAGAGAAUACCAAGGCGCUUGAGAGAACUCGGGUGAAGGAACUAGGCAAAAUGGUGCCGUAACUUCGGGAGAAGGCACGCUGACAUGUAGGUGAAGUGAUUUACUCAUGGAGCUGAAGUCAGUCGAAGAUACCAGCUGGCUGCAACUGUUUAUUAAAAACACAGCACUGUGCAAACACGAAAGUGGACGUAUACGGUGUGACGCCUGCCCGGUGCCGGAAGGUUAAUUGAUGGGGUCAGCGCAAGCGAAGCUCCUGAUCGAAGCCCCGGUAAACGGCGGCCGUAACUAUAACGGUCCUAAGGUAGCGAAAUUCCUUGUCGGGUAAGUUCCGACCUGCACGAAUGGCGUAAUGAUGGCCAGGCUGUCUCCACCCGAGACUCAGUGAAAUUGAACUCGCUGUGAAGAUGCAGUGUACCCGCGGCAAGACGGAAAGACCCCGUGAACCUUUACUAUAGCUUGACACUGAACAUUGAGCCUUGAUGUGUAGGAUAGGUGGGAGGCUUUGAAGUGUGGACGCCAGUCUGCAUGGAGCCGACCUUGAAAUACCACCCUUUAAUGUUUGAUGUUCUAACGUGGACCCGUAAUCCGGGUUGCGGACAGUGUCUGGUGGGUAGUUUGACUGGGGCGGUCUCCUCCUAAAGAGUAACGGAGGAGCACGAAGGUUGGCUAAUCCUGGUCGGACAUCAGGAGGUUAGUGCAAUGGCAUAAGCCAGCUUGACUGCGAGCGUGACGGCGCGAGCAGGUGCGAAAGCAGGUCAUAGUGAUCCGGUGGUUCUGAAUGGAAGGGCCAUCGCUCAACGGAUAAAAGGUACUCCGGGGAUAACAGGCUGAUACCGCCCAAGAGUUCAUAUCGACGGCGGUGUUUGGCACCUCGAUGUCGGCUCAUCACAUCCUGGGGCUGAAGUAGGUCCCAAGGGUAUGGCUGUUCGCCAUUUAAAGUGGUACGCGAGCUGGGUUUAGAACGUCGUGAGACAGUUCGGUCCCUAUCUGCCGUGGGCGCUGGAGAACUGAGGGGGGCUGCUCCUAGUACGAGAGGACCGGAGUGGACGCAUCACUGGUGUUCGGGUUGUCAUGCCAAUGGCACUGCCCGGUAGCUAAAUGCGGAAGAGAUAAGUGCUGAAAGCAUCUAAGCACGAAACUUGCCCCGA